CAAAUUUUUCAUCCAAAUUCUACCCAAAACCAUAAAUUUGUUGAUCCUAGCCUCCAAAACUCAAGUUAUUUCGAAAAAGAAACCCUAAUUCCUAAUAAGGCCUCAGGCAGUCUCCUUAAAGUCCAUUGGACAUGGCCUUCGACCAAUAGGAAUGAAGAUCUACAUUCCUUGCAUUCAUCCAACCAUGCCUUGCUUUCAUCCC
Molecule: long non-coding RNA, 202 nt
Filed under: Physcomitrium patens
Lineage: Eukaryota; Viridiplantae; Streptophyta; Bryopsida; Funariales; Funariaceae
Description: long non-coding RNA (PPAT_LNC003206)
Source: RNAcentral